This 512-nucleotide ribosomal RNA is filed under the name uncultured bacterium. RNAcentral's name for it is "bacterial SSU rRNA". It matches the Rfam family "Bacterial small subunit ribosomal RNA", at positions 30 to 507 of the family's 1533-position model. The record is from RNAcentral.
CGAACGCUGGCGGCAUGCCUAAUACAUGCAAGUCGAACGAGCUUCCGUUGAAUGACGUGCUUGCACUGAUUUCAACAAUGAAGCGAGUGGCGAACUGGUGAGUAACACGUGGGUAACUUGCCCAGAAGCAGGGGAUAACACUUGGAAACAGGUGCUAAUACCGUAUAACAACAGAAACCGCAUGGUUUCUGUUUGAAAGGUGGUUUCGGCUAUCACUUCUGGAUGGACCCGCGGCGUAUUAGUUAGUUGGUGAGGUAAAGGCCCACCAAGACAAUGAUACGUAGCCGACCUGAGAGGGUAAUCGGCCACAUUGGGACUGAGACACGGCCCAAACUCCUACGGGAGGCAGCAGUAGGGAAUCUUCCACAAUGGACGAAAGUCUGAUGGAGCAAUGCCGCGUGAGUGAAGAAGGGUUUCGGCUCGUAAAACUCUGUUGUUAAAGAAGAACACUUCUGAGAGUAACUGUUCAGAAGUUGACGGUAUUUAACCAGAAAGCCACGGCUAACUACGUG